GCUGAAUCCUCACCCGAGUCACACAAGUCUUCCAAGUCCCUUGCCCCAGGAAGGUGGGGGACGACCCAGCCAAUCUCUCCAGAGCCCGCGGCGUGCACAGCAGAGCUCAGAAGGGCCGCUUCUGAAUCCUCGAGCAGCAGUGUUCGAUUUUCUGUCAAUGCUGACUCCAAACGGCUGCUCUUCCCCAUCCGGGUGCUGCCGGUCUCCAGCCAGCAUGUGCCAGACUCGGAGGGGACAGCAGCUUGAGCUCAUAAAGAUACAAUAAUAAUCGUAAGGGGCAUAACAGGGGUCGGGCACGGUGGCUCACGCCUGUAAUCCCAGCGCUUUGGGAGGCCGAGGCGGGCGGAUCACGAGGUCAGGAGAUCGAGACCAUCCUGGCUAACACGGCGAAACCCCGUCUCUACUAAAAAUACAAAAAACAAAAUCAGCCGGGCGCGGUGGCUCACGCCUGUAAUCCCAGCGCUUUGGGAGGCCGAGGCGGGUGAAUCACGAGGUCAGGAGAUUGAGACCAUCCUGGCUAACACGGUGAAACGCCAUCUCUACUAAAAAUACAAAAAA
Molecule: long non-coding RNA, 558 nt
Filed under: Homo sapiens (human)
Lineage: Eukaryota; Metazoa; Chordata; Mammalia; Primates; Hominidae
Description: HSALNT0338846
Source: RNAcentral